GACGAACGCUGGCGGCGUGCUUAACACAUGCAAGUCGAACGGAAAGGCCCCUUCGGGGGUCCUCGAGUGGCGAACAGGUGAGUAACACGUGAGUAACCUGCCCUUGACUUCGGGAUAACUUCAGGAAACUGGGGCUAAUACCGGAUAGGAAUCCUUGCUGCAUGGUGGGGGUUGGAAAGCUUCGGCGGUUUUGGAUGGACUCGCGGCUUAUCAGCUUGUUGGUGGGGUAGUGGCUUACCAAGGCUUUGACGGGUAGCCGGCCUGAGAGGGCGACCGGCCACAUUGGGUCUGAGAUACGGCCCAGACUCCUACGGGAGGCAGCAGGGGGGAAUAUUGCACAAUGGGCGGAAGCCUGAUGCAGCAACGCCGCGUGCGGGAUGACGGCCUUCGGGUUGUAAACCGCUUUCAGCAGGGGCGAAGCUUGUGGUGACGGUACCUGCAGAAGAAGCACCGGCUAACUACGUG
RNAcentral lists this ribosomal RNA (465 nucleotides) under uncultured bacterium. RNAcentral describes it as "partial 16S ribosomal RNA". It matches the Rfam family "Bacterial small subunit ribosomal RNA", at positions 28 to 507 of the family's 1533-position model. The record is from RNAcentral.